RNAcentral lists this long non-coding RNA (520 nucleotides) under Mytilus galloprovincialis (Mediterranean mussel). Lineage: Eukaryota; Metazoa; Mollusca; Bivalvia; Mytilida; Mytilidae. The record is from RNAcentral.
AUGAAGGUGACAGUCAUUGUAGCGAGUGCAAUAUUUAAUUAUCUGGUAUGUAUACAUCACAUUACUUUUUAAUCAAAUAAAACAAUAGAAAAUUAAUAUAGAAGUUUUUUUACAAGCGUAAAACUAUUCGUUGUACAUAGACAAGUUUCAGUAAUAAUCAUAAGAUUGGUCUGAGUUUAAUUAUCAUAGUUCUAGGCUAGUGUUUGAUAGUGUUAAAAUGCUUUUACCAUAAUAAAAGCUGCCUUAAAAUAUAUCAAAUCAAUAUACUGAUUAGGAAAACUUAUUCAUUUCGGAAUGUGAUUGAAUGCAUUUGUAUUAAUUCAACUAAUUUUGUUUCAAUUAGUUAUACUUUGAUGUUAGCCAGGCCAACUACAGUCUUAAAUGUCCCGAAAGAUCACACAGAAAAAUAAGAGCUAAUAGUAAAUGUAAAGGAGAUGCAGAUAAAUACCACUGUUUAUUUGACCCAAAUAGCGAGAACAUUACAGAAUUUUGUUCCAGUCCAAAAGAUUAUACAGCAGGU